CGCCAGACUCCUACGGGAGGCAGCAGUGGGGGAUAUUGCACAAUGGGGGGAACCCUGAUGCAGCGACGCCGCGUGGGUGAAGGAGCGUUUCGGCGCGUAAAGCCCUAUCGGCAGGGAAGAAGGAGGACGGUACCUGACUAAGAAGCCCCGGCUAACUACGUGCCAGCAGCCGCGGUAAUACGGAGGGUGCGAGCGUUAAUCGGAAUUACUGGGCGUAAAGCGCUCGUAGGCGGUAUUGCUAGUCAAAGGUGAAAUCCCCGCGCUCAACGUGGGAACUGCCUUUGAAACUGGCAAACUGGAGUGUGUGAGAGGAUAGUGGAAUUCCAGGUGUAGGAGUGAAAUCCGUAGAUAUCGGGAGGAACAUCAGUGGCGAAGGCGACGAUCUGGCACAUAACUGCCGCUGAGGAGCGAAGGCGUGGGUAGCAAACAGGAUUAGAUACCCCUGUA
This 447-nucleotide ribosomal RNA is filed under the name uncultured bacterium. Its description in RNAcentral is "partial 16S ribosomal RNA". It matches the Rfam family "Bacterial small subunit ribosomal RNA", at positions 329 to 792 of the family's 1533-position model. The record is from RNAcentral.